AGUGAUAAUAGUACAAAUGAUCCUUAGACUUGAGAUCAUCAUAGAAUCUUAUAUAUAAUGAAUUACACUUUGACUUAUUCCUUAAGACUCUUAGAGUAUAUCAAAGGGUAUGCUUGGGUGUAAUAAGUUAUAUAUGAAGAUAAUGAAUGAUCAAUAAAGAAUCUACCACUUCUAGUAAAAGAAGAGAAAUGUCCAAUGUGAUUCGAUAAAUAACAACCCAGGAAUCCUUGGCCAAGGUGGAAUGAAAUUAGAAAGUAGUUUCUAAUUUGCAUUCAUUAGGAGUUG
Molecule: long non-coding RNA, 285 nt
Filed under: Panax ginseng (ginseng)
Lineage: Eukaryota; Viridiplantae; Streptophyta; Magnoliopsida; Apiales; Araliaceae
Description: long non-coding RNA (PGIN_LNC002061)
Source: RNAcentral